GACGAACGCUGGCGGCGUGCUUAACACAUGCAAGUCGAACGGAAAGGCCCUGCUUUUGUGGGGUGCUCGAGUGGCGAACGGGUGAGUAACACGUGAGUAACCUGCCCUUGACUUUGGGAUAACUUCAGGAAACUGGGGCUAAUACAGGAUAGGAGAUCCUGCUGCAUGGUGGGGGUUGGAAAGUUUCGGCGGUUGGGGAUGGACUCGCGGCUUAUCAGCUUGUUGGUGGGGUAGUGGCUUACCAAGUCUUUGACGGGUAGCCGGCCUGAGAGGGUGACCGGCCACAUUGGUACUGAGAGACGGCCCAGACUCCUACGGGAGGCAGCAGUGGGGAAUAUUGCACAGUGGGCGGAAGUCUGAUGCAGCGACGCCGCGUUCGGGAUGACGGCCUUCGGGUUGUAAACCGCUUUCGCCUGUGACGAAGCGGGAGUGACGGUAAUGGGUAAAGAAGCACCGGCUAACUACGUG
This 468-nucleotide ribosomal RNA is filed under the name uncultured bacterium. RNAcentral describes it as "partial 16S ribosomal RNA". It matches the Rfam family "Bacterial small subunit ribosomal RNA", at positions 28 to 507 of the family's 1533-position model. The record is from RNAcentral.